Molecule: ribosomal RNA, 319 nt
Filed under: uncultured Streptococcus sp.
Lineage: Bacteria; Bacillati; Bacillota; Bacilli; Lactobacillales; Streptococcaceae
Description: bacterial SSU rRNA
Rfam family: Bacterial small subunit ribosomal RNA
Source: RNAcentral
CUCGUGUCGUGAGAUGUGGUUAAGUCCGCAACGAGCGCAACCCCUAUUGUUAGUUGCCAUCAUUCAGUUGGGCACUCUAGCGAGACUGCCGGUAAUAAACCGGAGGAAGGUGGGGAUGACGUCAAAUCAUCAUGCCCCUUAUGACCUGGGCUACACACGUGCUACAAUGGUUGGUACAACGAGUUGCGAGUCGGUGACGGCGAGCUAAUCUCUUAAAGCCAAUCUCAGUUCGGAUUGUAGGCUGCAACUCGCCUACAUGAAGUCGGAAUCGCUAGUAAUCGCGGAUCAACACGCCGCGGUGAAUACGUUCCCGGGCCUU